This 90-nucleotide transfer RNA is filed under the name Caudoviricetes sp. RNAcentral describes it as "tRNA-Ser". It matches the Rfam family "tRNA". From Rfam's summary of the family: Transfer RNA (tRNA) molecules are approximately 80 nucleotides in length. Lineage: Duplodnaviria; Heunggongvirae; Uroviricota; Caudoviricetes. The record is from RNAcentral.
GGAAGGGUGGCAGAGUUGGCUUAAUGCGGCAGUCUUGAAAACUGUUGGUCGUGUAACAGCGAUCCCAGGGUUCGAAUCCCUGUCCUUCCU